AAACCAUGCACCGGGUAUAUUCUUAGUAGCUCUUUAAAUCACUCCCAUGCUUCAUAUAAUGUUUCAUUCUUUGGUUGUCUAAACAAUGUAAUAUCGUUCCUAAACUU
RNAcentral lists this small nucleolar RNA (107 nucleotides) under Gossypium hirsutum (cotton). RNAcentral's name for it is "Plant small nucleolar RNA R71". It matches the Rfam family "Plant small nucleolar RNA R71". From Rfam's summary of the family: R71 is a member of the C/D box family of snoRNAs containing the C (UGAUGA) and D (CUGA) box motifs. Multiple nearly identical copies of this snoRNA have been identified in Arabidopsis, and it is thought to function as a 2'-O-ribose methylation guide for 18S ribosomal RNA. The record is from Rfam by way of RNAcentral. Lineage: Eukaryota; Viridiplantae; Streptophyta; Magnoliopsida; Malvales; Malvaceae.